UAGGGAAUCUUCCGCAAUGGGCGAAAGCCUGACGGAGCAACGCCGCGUGAGUGAUGAAGGUCUUCGGAUCGUAAAACUCUGUUAUUAGGGAAGAACAAAUGUGCAAGUAACUAUGCACGUCUUGACGGUACCUAAUCAGAAAGCCACGGCUAACUACGUGCCAGCAGCCGCGGUAAUACGUAGGUGGCAAGCGUUAUCCGGAAUUAUUGGGCGUAAAGCGCGCGUAGGCGUUUUUUUAAGUCUGAUGUGAAAGCCCACGGCUCAACCGUGGAGGGUCAUUGGAAACUGGAAAACUUGAGUGCAGAAGAGGAAAGUGGAAUUCCAUGUGUAGCGGUGAAAUGCGCAGAGAUAUGGAGGAACACCAGUGGCGAAGGCGACUUUCUGGUCUGUAACUGACGCUGAUGUGCGAAAGCGUGGGGAUCAAACAGG
This 429-nucleotide ribosomal RNA is filed under the name Actinomycetes bacterium. RNAcentral describes it as "Actinobacteria bacterium partial 16S ribosomal RNA". It matches the Rfam family "Bacterial small subunit ribosomal RNA", at positions 355 to 776 of the family's 1533-position model. The record is from RNAcentral. Lineage: Bacteria; Bacillati; Actinomycetota; Actinomycetes.